This 244-nucleotide ribosomal RNA is filed under the name uncultured bacterium. Its description in RNAcentral is "partial 16S ribosomal RNA". It matches the Rfam family "Bacterial small subunit ribosomal RNA", at positions 524 to 765 of the family's 1533-position model. The record is from RNAcentral.
UACGUAGGGUGCAAGCGUUUGUCCGGAAUUAUUGGGCGUAAAGAGCUCGUAGGCGGUUCGUCGCGUCGGCUGUGAAAACCUGAGGCUCAACCUCAGGCCUGCAGUCGAUACGGGCGGACUUGAGUACUGCAGGGGAGACUGGAAUUCCUGGUGUAGCGGUGAAAUGCGCAGAUAUCAGGAGGAACACCGGUGGCGAAGGCGGGUCUCUGGGCAGUAACUGACGUGGAGGAGCGAAAAGCGUGGG